This is a long non-coding RNA of Panthera uncia (snow leopard), 566 nucleotides long. RefSeq lists it as uncharacterized. The record is from RefSeq and is a predicted model, not a curated record. The transcript is spliced from 3 exons. NCBI's taxonomy places the organism in Eukaryota, Metazoa, Chordata, Mammalia, Carnivora, Felidae.
CUCCGGAGCCGACCUCGGAGCCCGCCUGGAACACACCCAGACACCGGAAUCCGGGAGCACGGGAGUUCUGAGCACCUGCAGUAGCUGGGCCGGGGGAGGACACUGCGGAGGUGGGGGAGACGGGCCUCCGCCCUUCUGUUACUCAGCCUAAUUGUGUGCCCAAGACCCACCGCACAUGGAACCACAGCCCUCAUGCAAGACAGCAUGCAAUUAGCUGGGAGAAGAAUCCAAGGAUCGGAGAGUACAGUGCCUAACAAGCAAUGGAGUACUCUUCCCAAGGGAUUCUGGCAGGAAGCGACUUUGAUAGACUCUUAGAAGAGGUGUCUUAGAGGAACACAGAUGCACAAAGAGGCAUGACCAAGGAUGUUCGCUGCUGCAACGCGUAUGUAGUAAAAUACUAUAAACAACACAAAUGCCCGCCACUCAGAGAACGGUUGAGUAAAAUCGUGGCAAUCCAUAUGCUGGGAUAGAACAGUGAUUACGUGGCGAGAUUGUUGAGACUUAUUGUAAGUGAAAAACCAAGCUGUAAAACAAAACUACAAUGUGGUUCCAUUUAUGUAAAAAAG